CACGCUGUAGAAAACCAUGGCCCACAGCAAGGAUUCACCAUGGACUUUAGAGUUCCCUCAGGAUCUUCUUCCGUCUGCGGAGCGAACGGCUCUUCUCUAUCAUCUGUGUUACCUGCUUCUGGGAAGAUUCCUCGAUUUGCAGAGUCUGAUCAGAGAACAAGCUCUUGAAACACAACGGGUGUUUAGAUGCUCUGAGGCUGUUAUUAUAAAGUGUGUCGGCACGAGUUCCAACUUGGACUCCUCUCUGUUCCCAAUACUGACGAAAGUCGUUGAAAAGAACAAACACCUUUUGGCUUUGUCAUACAUGGGGAAAGUCAGAACAUGGAUUGAUGACAUCAUUAAACCUGUUGAUUCCAUGGUGAAGAGGUAUGAACAACACAUCCAAAGUGUGGAGAAGUGUGCUGUUGAUGUGAUUCAAAUACAGAAAAAACUGGAAGAACCAUUUGAACCUUUAAAGAAGAUCAAGAGUCUGGAGGAGGAAAUAGCCCAGCUGGAAGAGAGGAUGAGAGCAGAAAAUGUUAGUUGGAUGAACAAAAACCAUCUGACUGAACUUCAGAAGCAGUUGGGCCGUUACAGAAUGAAGCAUGGUCUGAUUGUCUACCUGGAGGAGGUUCAGAAGUGUCUUUCUCGAAUCAAGCAGAUUCUGUUUCAGCUUCAGAAGUUCUGGGAGAGAGUGGGAUCUCUGCUGGACACACUGAAAGACAGGACCCUUGUUGGGGACAAUCUCACUGAGGACCUGGAUGACAUGAAGGAGGAGUUUCUGACCUCCACUGAAGCAGCAAGAGAGUACUGGAAGACAUUCGGUGUAUCCUGUCGACGUGCACAAGGUGUUUUCAGCGUUCAGUCUGAAAAUGCAUAUAAGUUCCUGGAUAUCAAUCGGUCUUCCCUCUCAGAGGAUGAACAGAUGGAGCAGUACAAGUCUGUCAUGGAGAAGCUGAAGCAGAUCAGCCCGCAGUAUUCAUCCACUGAGUGAAACACAGAGAUCUGACGCUUCCUCUCACACAUUUAAACGCUCCUUAUAACGCAUGCGCAUUUUAAUGCAUACAGCUUCUCUUGUCAUUUUUGUAAUGCAUCUUUACAACUCCUCUUAUCCAAGUUCAUUUACAAUUCUACAUAAAUAUUCUUUAGUUAGCUGGUGUUAUGGAUACUAUUAUUUCUAUUUCUGAAUUGUGCUGUAUCUCUGGUUAAAAUUGCUUUGCAUUUCAUUAUAGUAUAUCAUAUAAUCAUGUAGUCUGGUCACAUGACUAAUGUCAAUGUCACACAAUAAAGACAGAAUGGGUCACCA
This is a long non-coding RNA of Cyprinus carpio (common carp), 1285 nucleotides long. The record is from Ensembl. Lineage: Eukaryota; Metazoa; Chordata; Actinopteri; Cypriniformes; Cyprinidae.